AGUCCAGCCAGAACCGCGCGGCGCUGGAGCGUCCUGACGCCUUGAACGUGGCGGUCGAGGGGGAGCGGGAUCUCGGCGCCUACUUGAUGUGGAACUCGGCGGCCACCAAGCAGCGGUUUAGAGAUCUGGUCGGCUUGGGGUUGAAGGGGAGCGGCGACUACGGAGCCGUGGCCGGCGGUCUUUAUUCGGGGCAGGGGUUGAACCGAUCGGAUCAGAAUGGCGACGUCCACGUGGUGGGUCGCGUGUCGUACCCGUUCAAGCUGGCCAGCGGCCAGUAUGCGGAGUUCGGGGUGCAGGGGUACCGCGGGCGAUUCGUCAGUCCCGUGCAGGCGAUCACCAUCGGCGGCACCACCGUGACGCCGACGCAGGAAGCGAACGGCGCGAUCGAUCAGCGCGUCGCGCUGACCGCCGUGUGGUACCCGCAACCCCUGGGCGUCGAGGCCGAGUGGACGUUCGGUCGCGGGCCCACGUUGAGCGACGACUUCCGGCGCAUCGACGCCGAUUCGCUGCACGGCGGCUACGUGCAGGUCAACUACCGGACCGUCGGGAAGAAGGGGGUCUUCGUGCCGUUCACCCGCUGGAACUAUUACGACGGGUCGCGGAAGUUCGCGCGCAACGCGCCCCGCAUGCGCGUGAACGACGUGGACGUGGGCCUCGAGUUCGCGCGCUGGUCGGAGGUGGAGCUGACGGCGAUGGUCAGCCGCACGUUCUCGCGCACCCGAACGGGUCUGUUCCCCUACACGGUGACCCGCGGCGCGACGCGCUUGGGGCUGCAGGCGCAGAUAAACUACUGAAACGUUCGCAAGAAAACGCCAUCUGACAAUUACGUCGAGAUCGUCGCCUUGGGUCCGCGGAUGGGCGCCGCUGGCCCGCGCGCGACGCCGUGCACAACGGUUCAGUCAUACUGCGAUCCGUACAUUACUGUAUCAACUAUCAACUACUGCUACGCGUCUGUCCGCUAGAGCGGAGCCCGAUCCCGUCGCGAAUUCAGCGGAUAUCUGUCUUUGAAUCAUGGAGUUAAGUGUCCUUGCAGGGCCUGGCACUGCGCGGCGUGUCGCUUGCACUUGUAACAGGCAGCUUGCGGCCGACGUGUGGUGCCACCGUGUCGUGUAGGCACUGCACCCGGCCACAUCGAGGAGGACACACUUCAUGGGGAGUUCGAGCGUGCCGUUCAUUUCGUUGUUGUCGCACCCGGUCGUGCGGGCCUUUGGGGGCGUGUGCGUGGGUGCCAUGCUCUUGCAGGCAGUGCCGGCGUUCGCUGGACCUGAGGACCCCAACGCCAAGCCGGCGUCAGAAGCAGCCAAGCCCGCGGCGGAACCGCAGGCUCCCGCAGCGGCAGCCGACGAUCCUGUGAUCGCCUUCUUCAAGAAGGUCGAGCUGUCGGGGAUCAUCGACACGUACUUCACGUACAACUUCAACGAGCCCCCGACUGGCACCUUCACGCCUUACCGGAGCUUCGACGUGAAGCACAACCAGUUCAGCGUGUCCUUGGUGGAAUUUGCCAUGGCCAAGCCCGCGACCGAGGACGACCGGAUCGGCUUCCGGUUCGACCUGCAGUACGGGCAGACCGCGCAGGUCUUCAACACCGACCCGCUGGACAACAACAACCUGCUCAACGUCCAGCAGGGCUACAUCAGCUACCUGGCGCCCGCCGGCAGGGGGCUGACGUUUGAAGUGGGCAAGUUCACGACGCCGAUUGGCACCGAGCCCACCGAGGCGCACCUGAACAACAACUACUCGCGCGCAUUCCUCUAUCAGUUCGGGCCCUUCUACCACGUGGGCGCGCGCAUCUCGUAUCCCGUGCACC
RNAcentral lists this unclassified non-coding RNA (1807 nucleotides) under uncultured fungus. RNAcentral's name for it is "sequence contains 18S rRNA gene, ITS1, 5.8S rRNA gene, ITS2, 28S rRNA gene". The record is from RNAcentral. Lineage: Eukaryota; Fungi.